GAGGCAGCAGUGGGGAAUUUUGGACAAUGGGCGAAAGCCUGAUCCAGCCAUGCCGCGUGCAGGAUGAAGGCCUUCGGGUUGUAAACUGCUUUUGUACGGAACGAAAAGACUCUGGUUAAUACCUGGGGUCCAUGACGGUACCGUAAGAAUAAGCACCGGCUAACUACGUGCCAGCAGCCGCGGUAAUACGUAGGGUGCAAGCGUUAAUCGGAAUUACUGGGCGUAAAGCGUGCGCAGGCGGUUAUAUAAGACAGAUGUGAAAUCCCCGGGCUCAACCUGGGAACUGCAUUUGUGGCUGUAUAGCUAGAGUACGGCAGAGGGGGAUGGAAUUCCGCGUGUAGCAGUGAAAUGCGUAGAUAUGCGGAGGAACACCGAUGGCGAAGGCAAUCCCCUGGGCCCGUACUGACGCUCAUGCACGAAAGCGUGGGGAGCAAACAGGAUUAGAUACCCUGGUAGUCCACGCCCUAAACGAUGUCAACUGGUUGUUGGGUCUUCACUGACUCAGUAACGAAGCUAACGCGUGAAGUUGACCGCCUGGGGA
RNAcentral lists this ribosomal RNA (541 nucleotides) under uncultured bacterium. Its description in RNAcentral is "bacterial SSU rRNA". It matches the Rfam family "Bacterial small subunit ribosomal RNA", at positions 345 to 879 of the family's 1533-position model. The record is from RNAcentral.